Molecule: long non-coding RNA, 672 nt
Filed under: Sorghum bicolor (sorghum)
Lineage: Eukaryota; Viridiplantae; Streptophyta; Magnoliopsida; Poales; Poaceae
Description: long non-coding RNA (SBIC_LNC008188)
Source: RNAcentral
AUAAGGUUUUGAUAUCUGGAGCUCAUAGGUGGGAGACAGCUAAUACAUACUUACAAAACAUUUAUUGCAUAGUCAAACCAUGGAUCCAAAGAAACAAGUCAAUAAGUCAAAUCAAGAUGUGCAUGUGUGGCGAAUGAAUGGUGUAUGGUGAUGAUGGUGAUAACAAUGGUGAAAGUCUAAUUUUACUUGUGCUCUUUUGAGGGGAUACAUACCUUUCUUGCUCUUUUGAAACUUUUUUAGGAGAAUGAGAUGCUCUAUAUUUUCUUUUACUUUUCUCUCAGGUGGGUAUCUUGUACCCCAAAUUCUACUGUCGGACACUUGUCCAUUUUUACCUCUCAUCUCACUUUUUCUUUUCUUUCGAGGUUCCGGGCACUUGCCCCUUUUUAUUUCCUCGUAUCUUCUUUUUUUUAGAGCACUCAUUUCCUGAAAUAAUAUAGCAAGUGGUAGUAACCAAGAUAACUUGAGCAUUUAUUUCACAAGGGAAAACAGUAAUGUUUUUGGCUAUUCUCUCCCGAAUUAGGAGUAGAAUAUUUUUGGGUGGUUCUGGAGAUGGAAAUGGGUGGAUAUAUGUGGAUGCAUACUACUGGAGUAGAAGCAGCAUGUGUGAGUGAACGUGCAAGUGAAUCUUGAUUUUAACCGCAUGACAAGCUCCUAAGGGUCUACACAGCUUGA